CCCUUAGAUGUUCUGGGCCGCACGCGCGCUACACUGAUGCAUUCAACGAGUCUAAAACCUGCUCUGAUAGGGGUGGGCAAUCUUUUGAAUGUGCAUCGUGAUUGGGAUAGAUGAUUGAAAUUUUUCAUCUUCAACGAGGAAUGCCUAGUAAACGCAAGUCAUCAGCUUGCAUUGAUUACGUCCCUGCCCUUUGUACACACCGCCCGUCGCUCCUACCGAUUGAAUGAUCCGAUGAAUAUCAUGGAUUGAGGAUGCAAGUAGGUUCACCUAUCUUCAUCUUCGAGAAGUGAAGUAAAUCUUAUCAUUUAGAGGAAGGAGAAGUCGUAACA
Molecule: ribosomal RNA, 329 nt
Filed under: uncultured eukaryote
Lineage: Eukaryota
Description: partial 18S ribosomal RNA
Rfam family: Eukaryotic small subunit ribosomal RNA
Source: RNAcentral